UCCCCCCCUCCCCUCCCUCCCUCCCUCGCCCCCUCCCUCGCCCUUCCCCAAAUCUCGGGUCUGACGUCGCGUCCUCUUAUUCGACUUUUCCUCGCGUCUCCUUCCCGAGUCGCCAAUCGCCGGGGCGCCUUCCAGGCGCGGCCGCCCACCCCCGCGGAUCCUGUGCGCUGGGCGGGGCGGGGCGGGGCGGGAGCCAGGCGCUCAGAGUCCCUCCCCGCCCGGCCGGCCUGCGCCAGGAAGGGGCGCGGGAGGCGCGGGGACGCGGGUUAGUGGAGGGUCAGCUCGCCCCUCGCCCUCGGCACCUCGCCGCUCGCCCCGGCGCGGGGCCUGGGUGGGAACGAGAUCUCCGUCUGGGGCAGGCACUGGGGCUUCACCCUGGCCGGGCCCCCUGUGCAGCUCGCACCUCCGGACUCCUGGCCACUCUCAGCGGCAUGGCGGGGGAGCUAGAAGAGAGCGCGAGGGUCGGGGGCGGAGGAGUGGGUGGGUGCGUUCUAGUCGACUCUUCAAAGGCCAUCUCACUGCCCAGGGGGGCGCAGCAACCCCCUACCCAAGAGGACCAAACCCUGAAAUUUGCCACGUUAACGCAGCCUGUAUCCCAGUGCGAAUCCCUUAUCAGAAAUGGCGGGCUCGGCCGAGGGUCUGGAGGGUGGACGCCCCGGGGUCCUGGGGAUCCAAGACGGGAAGGUGGAGCCUGCAGUGCUAUAGGCGGGCUGGGAUGGUUGGGAUGGGGAGGUGCAGAGGGCCGGGUCGAGGAGGCUCUAGGAACUUUCGGAGAGCGCUUCGAGAAGUUUGUAUACUGGAAUUUUCGGUCUGCAGAGAUCUUCGUUUCAUUACCCCUUCCCCUGCUCUCUGGUCGCCGCGCCAACCUGUUUUCUUUCUACAAGGAUCCUCCCACCAUCGUGGGUAGGGAUGGGAGGCAAGACUUUUAGUUUUAUAGUGGGAUAUGUCCUAAAUCAAACCUGAAACCCCGGUAUCCGGGCGCCCACCUCCACGAAUGAGGACUUGCAGCCGAGAAGGGGGUUGAAAUUCGCUGAAUCGCGGUGGCUCGGGGCUAAACGCUGUAGGCCGCAGCGGCGACCGAGGCACAGGCCAGGCCUGCGGCGGGAGCGCUCCGGGGACAACGGGGCGGUGGCUCUGCCCUGCGGUUGCCAGCUCCGGCUUGGAGGCGGAAACUGGCCGCCGCGCUCUGAUAGAUGAAUCGAAUCCGAAUUCCACCAGAGUGGAGGGAUCGGAGAGUCUUGGUCGGCUGUUUCUGGUCAGUUGGGGAAUGAGCCCCCCUUGGGCACCCGGUUUUGAUCCCACCCCCUACUCUCCGCUUCUUUCUACCAGUCUCCGCACAGGUCAGCGGCUCCAGUACGUGCGAACGCAGAGAAAAUCGGGAAGAAGACGAGAGAACGUUUAGGGGAGACCAGCUUUGGGGUUCGACUGGAGAAACUGAGUGUGGCCUUUUCAGAUUGGCUCAAACUACUUCCCUUCUCCCCUCCCAACCCGAGCCUAGUGCCCAGCCUUGGCCUUAGCUGGAGCCUCUCCGGAGGAGGAGAUGCCAGGGCAGCCCUGGCGUGCAAAUGUUUCCCCGGCGCCUGAUUUCGUUCACAGUUAAACCUGUCAGCCGAACGGCGUAGGGAAUCACGGGCUCACCUUCUCGCGAAAAACCUCGUAGUUACAAAACUCCGAGGCACCCCAGGUCCCGAGCAGAAGCGGCCUCUCUGCUACCCUAGUCUCCAGCUGGGAUCAGCCCUGCCAGGCCAGGACAUCCGCGCCUCACGUCGGGACUCAGGGUCCUAGGCAGCCGAGCCCCGUCGUGGCGCUGGCUCCCCAACUCGACAGGGGCAGUGGAGCCCGGCUCCGGACUGAACUCGCGGCGCGCAAAGCGCUUCGGAGGCGCGGUGUCGACGCUGUGUCAACGCGGCGCAGGGUGUGGGGAGUGCACGGAGAGAGUGUCCAUAGCACACGCUUGGCGCGCACAGCAGCUCUUGCCUGACUCGCACCUGGAGCCGCGGCCCCAGCAGCCGCGUGGACGCCCGAGUGCGUGGCCUCGUGUCUGCGCCAGGAGGGACUUCUCUCUGGCCAGGAAUCCGGAGCCCGAGAAGCCCAGGAGGCGCAGGCCGUCGGCCUCCAGAGACCCCGGGAUGGGCUGCCGCUCCCCCCAGCCACCAGAGUUUCGGGGCCCCGCUCUGGGUCCGGAGAAGCGUCGGGGAAACUGGGAGAAACUUUACCAACUUUGCUCUCUGCGAGGGAGAGGCCGCCCGAAUGGCCGGGUAGCGGCAGGCCGCGGCGCGCGGGGUGGGCCCCCAGCCAGGCCCGGGCACCCGGGAGCGGGCCGGGCCGCCCAAGGAGGGGUGAGAGGCCUGCCGGCUAGCUCCCGGCGCCCCCGCUCCUGUCCUGCGCCUCCCCCAGCUGGCCGCGCGCCUGGGUCUCCGAGCCGCCGGCGACGCGCAGCGCUGGGGAUGGACUGGAUGGAAAACCCUGGUCUCCAGAGCAAGUGAUUACAUUUUUCUUUACCUCUCCGGGAUCACCCCUUUCCCGCCCGACUUGAGAGGUGUCACUCCCUCCUUCUCCUUUGUUUUUCUCUAUUCCUCUGUUCCUCCCACUUUCUCUGUAUUCGAUUUCUAGGUCAUUCCUUUUUCCUUUCUUUCCUCCGCUCCCUUAUUCCUUGUUUUAUUUUUUCCCCUGGACCACUUUUCAGUUGUUUUCUCAUUUUGCUCCUCCCUCUUUUCUUGUGUCUCUUUUCCCCUGACUGACGGAGUCUCUCUCCCCCAUCUUCAUUUCUCCUCCUUUAUCUCUAGCCUCUCUCUCUCUUCUAAUCUCGUAUUUCCUUCUUCGAUUUCUGGUCUGUCUCUCAGGUUCUCCUCCGCGUGUCUUUUCUGUCUCCUCUUCGUCUCCAGAACUGUCCCCUCCCUGGUGGAUGUGCCUUCCCGGAGGCGCCCCUUCUCAUCCAUCUUGGAGAAGAAUAUGUCAUCUUAUUGGAUGCGGAGGCCAGAGCCGGGUGAUGGGGCUCGGCCAGCCUAGCGCCUUUUCUUCAUGCAUAUUGAGGAGAUGGUAAUGAGCGCGUUUGCAUUGUUGCAUGGAAAUGCUGCGUUUCCUGCCUCAGUUCCGAUCCCGCGAGGGUGGCACGGGCCCAAAAGAGCCCCGCAGUGGGCAGCCGGCCUGGUGGCCGCAGCCGGCCCUCGACGGGUUCCCGGGUGCUGGGGCCCCGGGGGAGGAAGUGACCUGGCCGAGCCUGCCGGCCUCUCCUCCUUGGGUCCCUCCACGAGGGCCGGCCUCGCUCCUCUCCUUAAAGCCUCGGGUCGGGAACUCCCGGCUCGGCCUCGCUCACGACACUUCCUUCGCGCCCCCUCCCCACGGGCCUCUGGGUCCCCCCCUCCCCUGAUGUUUGGAGGUCUGUGAUGGAGCACCACCGGGAAAUUAGUGCCUGACAACGUCGUCUAACGGCAGUAAACUGCUACUCCGAGUGACACGUCGCGGGAUCAAACGCAGCCACACUGUGCACCGCGCUCUGCUCACUCCCGGCUAAUCUUGGAGGACGCAGGGCGCUCGGUCAGGGGAGCGCAGGCCCCUGCGUGUCGGGAGCCCGCUCCCGCCUGGGCUCAACGGGACGGAGCCGACCCGGAGGCCAGUCCCUCCCGGAGAAGAUGCGCAGAGCUCCAGAGACAGGACCCAGGCACGCCUCUCAAAGAGACGAAGGCUUGUGAAAGGCGGGAACUCCGAGGGUGCAAACAGCAGAGCUCAGAGCGAACCUACUGCUCCUUGCUGGAAAAUCGGAAGGACACGGAGCCGCAGCUCCAGACACGGCCGAGCAGGAACCUCUGGACAGUACACUUUCCCAGGGAUCCCCCGGUCCCUUCCAGCUCCAUACCAGGAAAGUUGAGGGCUCUUGGUUCAAAAUCAAAACCGCUGGGAUCUCGCCUUGUCUGGAAUUCUGUAGUGCCUGGCGUUUCCCAAACUUCAAGCCCUUGGCUACCACCUCUACUAUUAUUUGCUUAACAUUUUCCCUUAAAUCGACUCAUUUUAAAAACGUAGAUAUAUGUUUUUGGAAAGAAAACUUGAUACUACUACCUUAAAUUGAAAAGUAGCUAUUCCUCACCAUGAAAGGCAAUUGUGAAAGAUAAAAACAGCUCGAUCCACGCACUGUUGACACCUAUCAGCCGUGUGGCUUGCUUGGAGUGACUUCUAGAGGCCCAGGUGCGUGUGUAGCCUAGCCAGCGUUGGAAUUGUUAAAUACUGAAUCUUUCUCAGAAGAAAGGAGAGAAUCGAAAAGGAAGUUUCUCGUUAUUCAAUGCUGUUAAUUAACUCUGUCUCCACACUACCUAAAAGCAUGUUGAGGACCCCAAAACCUGGCCUGGUUUAGGGUUUACCAAUGUCAUUCUCUGACAUUCAAUGACAAUGUCACUGUAUGAAAAAUAAGUAAAACAUUUAAAAUAAAAAUACCUGUUAUUAUUAUUUACCAAAUAAUUGUGUUAAGCACAAUAUCUCAUUUAAUUCUCACAAUAGGCCUACAACAGAGAGACUAUCCAGGGUGGUCGUGUAUGGUUGAGCAGGAUGCUCACUGUACAAGGGCACCCAGAUGAGGGGAUAAGAGGGUCUGAAGUCCAG
Molecule: long non-coding RNA, 4593 nt
Filed under: Equus asinus (donkey)
Lineage: Eukaryota; Metazoa; Chordata; Mammalia; Perissodactyla; Equidae
Description: lncRNA (ENSEASG00005023719.1)
Source: RNAcentral